CAAGCGAGCGGCUCACCAUGCGCGUCCUCCGAGAUGGUCCUUCUCCCCCCGCAGCGGUGCCCUCACAUCCAGCCUGUGCACGCGUCUGUCUGCUGUCCUGCUGUUUUAAAAAAAAAAAAAAAAAAAAAAAAAAAGAAGAAGAAGAAGAACAAGGAGGAGGAGCAGGAGGAAGAAGAGGAGGAGGAAGAAGAGGAGUGGGGUUCCCAGGACAAAAUAAGAGGGACUCGCUGGAAGGAGAAGAAGUUUACGCACAAUGAAUGCCAUAUUGGACGUACGAAGUGGGUUUUCCUCCUUCUUGCCGGUUUCCAGCACUUCCUUGGAGGGGCCGCUUCUUCCCAGGGCUUCCUGGAGCUCCACGAUGGAUAGAGUUCCGCUGCAGAGUGAGCGACACCCAGAGCCAGCUUGCGACACAUACAUAAGACAGUGGCACAAAGUCUGUCACAACUUCAUCCCGGAAGCAAUGUGCACCCCCCCCGCCGGGAACGUUUGCCAUGCAGGCCUGAAGCGACACGUUUCAAUGUGACGCAUGUGGAGAUGAAUCCGGGAAGCAUCGCAGGAGAAAGGACUCGGCUGAAUAAGAAACAGAAGCGAGGGAUGAAUUAGGACAUCUGAAUGGUUUC
Molecule: long non-coding RNA, 620 nt
Organism: Phyllopteryx taeniolatus (common seadragon)
Lineage: Eukaryota; Metazoa; Chordata; Actinopteri; Syngnathiformes; Syngnathidae
Exons: 3
Source: RefSeq, a predicted model, not a curated record